AUUCUGGUUGAUCCUGCCAGUAGCUAUAUGCUUGUCUCAAAGAUUAAGCCAUGCAUGUCUAAGUACACACGAAUUAAAAGUGAAACCGCAAAAGGCUCAUUAUAUGGUUAUAUGGUUAUGGUUCCUUAGAUCGUUAACAGUUACGUGGAUAACUGUGGUAAUUCUAGAGCUAAUACAUGCAAUUAAAACAUGAACCUUAUGGGACAUGUGCUUUUAUUAGGCUAAAACCAAGCGAUCGCAAGAUCGUUAUAUUGGUUGAACUCUAGAUAACAUGCAGAUCGUAUGGUCUUGUACCGACGACAGAUCUUUCAAAUGUCUGCCCUAUCAACUUUUGAUGGUAGUAUCUAGGACUACCAUGGUUGCAACGGGUAACGGGGAAUCAGGGUUAGAUUCCCGGAGAGGGAGCCUGAGAAACGGCUACCACAUCUAAGGAAGGCAGCAGGCGCGUAAAUUACCCACUCCCAGCUCGGGGAGGUAGUGACGAAAAAUAACAAUACAGGACUCAUAUCCGAGGCCCUGUAAUUGGAAUGAGUACACUUUAAAUCCUUUAACAAGGACCGAUUGGAGGGCAAGUCUGGUGCCAGCAGCCGCGGUAAUUCCAGCUCCAAUAGCGUAUAUUAAGUUGUUGCGGUUAAAACGUUCGUAGUGAACUUGUGCUUCAUACGGGUAGUACAACUUACAAUUGUGGUUAGUACUAUACCUUGAGGUAGAAAAGCGGCUUACCGGUGGAGUUCUUAUAUGUGAUUAAAUACAAGUAUUUUCUCAUAUGUGCCUCCUAU
Molecule: non-coding RNA, 779 nt
Filed under: Drosophila sechellia
Lineage: Eukaryota; Metazoa; Arthropoda; Insecta; Diptera; Drosophilidae
Description: Eukaryotic small subunit ribosomal RNA
Rfam family: Eukaryotic small subunit ribosomal RNA
Source: Rfam by way of RNAcentral